Molecule: non-coding RNA, 69 nt
Organism: Candidatus Woesebacteria bacterium RBG_16_42_24
Lineage: Bacteria; Candidatus Woeseibacteriota
Source: Rfam
GACCUGUAUCUCGAACUGUUACCGGAUGGUGGCGUGUCGGGAACUACCCGUCUAGAGACGUGGUCGGAA